GCGCCCUUAGCUCAGCGGAUAGAGCGUUGGCCUCCGGAGCCAAAGGCCGCAGGUUCGAAUCCUGCAGGGCGCACCA
This 76-nucleotide transfer RNA is filed under the name Bacillota bacterium. RNAcentral describes it as "tRNA-Arg". It matches the Rfam family "tRNA". Rfam says of the family: Transfer RNA (tRNA) molecules are approximately 80 nucleotides in length. Their secondary structure includes four short double-helical elements and three loops (D, anti-codon, and T loops). Further hydrogen bonds mediate the characteristic L-shaped molecular structure. tRNAs have two regions of fundamental functional importance: the anti-codon, which is responsible for specific mRNA codon recognition, and the 3' end, to which the tRNAs corresponding amino acid is attached (by aminoacyl-tRNA synthetases). tRNAs cope with the degeneracy of the genetic code in two manners: having more than one tRNA (with a specific anti-codon) for a particular amino acid; and 'wobble' base-pairing, i.e. permitting non-standard base-pairing at the 3rd anti-codon position. The record is from RNAcentral. Lineage: Bacteria; Bacillati; Bacillota.